This 256-nucleotide ribosomal RNA is filed under the name uncultured Gigaspora. RNAcentral describes it as "partial 18S ribosomal RNA". It matches the Rfam family "Eukaryotic small subunit ribosomal RNA", at positions 624 to 886 of the family's 1831-position model. Lineage: Eukaryota; Fungi; Glomeromycota; Glomeromycetes; Diversisporales; Gigasporaceae. The record is from RNAcentral.
AAGCUCGUAGUUGAAUUUCGGGGUUCUACCGUUGGUCGGGCAAUAGUCUGUACUGGCGUGUAGAAUUUCUACCUUCUGGGGAACCCAUCAUGUUAUUUAUUUAGCGUGGUGGGAAACCAGGACCUUUACCUUGAAAAAUUAGAGUGUUACAAAGCAGGCUUACGUCUGAAUACAUUAGCAUGGAAUAAUAAAAUAGGACGGUGGUCCUGUUUUGUUGGUUUCUGAAUCACCGUAAUGAUUAAUAGGGAUAGUUGGG